Molecule: non-coding RNA, 101 nt
Organism: Ruegeria meonggei
Lineage: Bacteria; Pseudomonadati; Pseudomonadota; Alphaproteobacteria; Rhodobacterales; Roseobacteraceae
Source: Rfam
UGCGUCUGAUUCGAAACUGCCGGAUAUGCAGGCCGGUUGGGAACAGAUGUGUUCGAACGUCAUGGCCGGGCUGUCUGGCCUGAACAUGGUGUAUGAAGCAG